GUCAGCAUGGUGUAAUGGCUUGAGCAUUGGACUAGGACUCUGAAGGCCCGGGUUCGAUUCCCAGCUCAGCCA
This is a non-coding RNA of Phrynosoma platyrhinos (Desert horned lizard), 72 nucleotides long. Lineage: Eukaryota; Metazoa; Chordata; Lepidosauria; Squamata; Phrynosomatidae. The record is from the annotation of a GenBank genome assembly.